This is a long non-coding RNA of Cucurbita maxima (winter squash), 3802 nucleotides long. RefSeq lists it as uncharacterized. The record is from RefSeq and is a predicted model, not a curated record. The transcript has 3 exons. Lineage: Eukaryota; Viridiplantae; Streptophyta; Magnoliopsida; Cucurbitales; Cucurbitaceae.
UUCCGAAAUUUCGAGAAGGAAAACGAGAGAAACGGUCUGAAUUUCGUUUUCAUCAACGGAAAAAUCUGCUACUUGAUUCAGGGUGUUUGGAAGUCGAGAAAAUCUACUUCAAAUUCCACCAGUGAAUGGAAAAUUCGACAGCAAUUUCAUACCAUGAUUGAACAGAGAGCAGUUUUGGCAGAAAAGAAUUCUUCUAAUGGGAGAGAAACGCGAAGCUCUGAUGAAUACCUAGGUUAGUAUUCAUCCUAAAGAUUCUGAACAGAGGAUUUGUUCGUUUUUAAUUCUGUUCGUCUACGUAGACUUGGAUUUAAGCAAUCGUAAGGGUGGUGGUAAAAUAUCUGUAAUAUCUUUAGUGUUGAUCCUGACCUUAUGUUCAUGGACUUAAAUUGUCAGAUUGUUGUCGGAUUAGUGCUAUUUGACUAACCACCAAUUUGUUGUCGGAUUAGUGCUGUUGUCGGGUUUUUUUGUUUCUUUUCUUUUUGUAUUGCAAUUGUGCAGUUCUUAACCAUAUGCGUUAGGCCUCCUAAAUUCCCCAGCAGCUGAAAAUUUUGAGAGGUUGGAAAAUAGUGGCUAGAAAAGAACAAAAUCUUUCUUGAACCCUUCUUUUGCCUCUCAUAUUAUUUGCGCUCAUGAUUAACAUUUAUUUUCUGGGUUGAAAAUUAGUUUCCUAGCUUCUUGAAGAUUUUGCAUUGAUCGGCGAAGUUUUUCAACUUUUAUGGUAUGUUUAUGUUAUACAGUUCUUCCUUAUAUGUUGUAUGAUUCUAAAAUGACCUAUGCUUGCAUGACCUAGUACCGACCUACAAUCUUAAAAUAAACCAUAAUAUAUUGUCUUAAAUUGAAGCUACAAUCUAACUCUCUAGAAAGCAUACAUUAGAUCCUUUGAGAAAUUUUUACAGACACCUAACUGUAAUUUUUUGCAAAAUAAGUGUUGUAGUUUUUCUAUUUAGUUGUAGUAACAAUAUGAAAAAACUGGUUAGCUUUUUCUUUGUUUUCUUCCCCAUGUUUGGAACCUUAAUGUUGACACUUCUGUGAUAAGUGUUUGUUUCUAUUGCAGCCCUUCCAUUGGUUUUACUUGCUAUUAUGCAUAGGAGUUAGAUUUCAAAUCACAUUCACUAUAUAUAUUUCUGUUUCAAAACUUUUUUGGCUUGGAGUGGCCAACUUUUCUCUUUUCUCUUGUUCUUUCUUUAGCAUUGCCCCAAACAGGCGAAAUAUCUUUAAUAUUUUAAAAUACAUCUUAACGGCUUGAUCUGCAGUGUUUCUCAUUUUGGUAACUAUUUUUUAUUCUGACUCUAUUUACGUAGAUUUAGUGGUUCGGAUUAUUGUUCCUAAAAAGUAUGAGAAAUAAUGGGUAAAUUUGAGAUUCUAGUGCUAUUUGAAUCACCACCAAUUUUUUUUGGGUCAAAUCUCUUGUUUAAAGAUUUCUAAUAUGCUUUUUAGUCCAAUCUCUUGCUUAAGUAUUUUAACCAAACACUUAAGUGUAAUAUCAAAUAGUAUGAGCGUUCUAGAGUUUGAAGAUUAGCGUGAGAUGAUCUUCAACUUCCUAGUAUGUUCAUAUCAUUUGGUAAAAUAUGAUUUUACGUGAAAGAUUAUUUGAGUUUUCAAAAUUGAUGAGUGCUCUAGGUUUUGAAUGUUCUGUUUGGUCAAAUUUCUUGUUUAAUAUUUCUAAUAUACUUUUUCGUCGUCAAAUCUCUUGUUUAAGAUUUUUAACCAAACAUUUAAGCGUGAUAUCAAAUAAUAUGAGCGUUCUAGAGUUUGAAGAUUAGCGAGAGAUGAUCUUCAACUUCUUAGUAUGUUCAUAUUAUUUGGUAAGAUAUGAUUUUGCCUAAUGUUAAAGAUUUCUACUAUAUUCUAUUUGGAUUUUCAAAGUCGAUGAGUGCUCUAGGUUUUAAAAGUUCUCUUAACAAUUUUUUUUUUUUUUUUGGUCAAAUCUCUUGUUUAAGAUUUUUAACCAAACACAAGUGUGAUAUCAAAUAGUAUGAGCGUUCUAGAGUUUGAAGAUUAGCGGGAGAUGAUCUUCAACUUCCUAGUAUGUUCAUAUCAUUUGGUAAAAUAUGAUUUUACGUGAAAGAUUAUUUGAGUUUUCAAAAUUGAUGAGUGCUUUAGGUUUUGAAUGUUCUCUUUGGUCAAAUUUCUUGUUUAAAAUUUUUAACCAAACAUUUAAGCGUGAUAUCAAAUAGUUAUGAGCGUUCUAGAGUUUGAAGAUUAGCGGGAGAUGAUCCUCAACUUCUUAGUAUGUUCAUAUCAUUUGGUAAGAUAUGUGUUAAAGAUUUCUAUUAUUCUAUUUGAAUUUUCAAAAUUGAUGAGGGCUCAGGUUUUGAAUGUUCUCUUAACAUUUAUUUAUUUAUUAUUAUUAUUAUUUUUUUUUUUUUUUUGUCAAUUCUCUCUUGUUUAAGAUUUUUAAUACUUUAUCGUCAAAUCUUUUGUUUAAGAUUUUUAACCAAACACAUAAGUGUGAUCUCAAAUAGUAUAGACAUUUAAGAGUUUGAUGAUUAGCGAGAGAUGAUCUUCAAUUCUUAGAAUGUUCACAUCAUUUGAUAACAUAUGAUUUCGCCUCAAGUUAAAUAUUCCUACCAUUCUUUUUGGUUUCUAAAAAAUUAUGAGUAUGGUUGGUUUUGAAGAUUUACGAGUUAUUAUCUUACCAUCUCUAUGAAGUCUUUUGGUGCAAUUUUUUAUUUGUUAAAGAUUUCUAAUCGACUUCUUAGAAAGUUUUCUAACCAUAGAUUUUUCAUCAAAUCUCUUGUUAAAGUUUUUUUUAAUGUACUUUUAUGUUAAAUCUCUUGUUUAAGAUUUCUAACCAAACACUUUUAAGUGUUAUCUCAAAUCAGGGAGGUGAUCUUCAACUUCCUAGUCUAUUCAUUUGGUAAGAUAUAAUUUUUCCUUUUGUUAGAGUAGUUAAAGGUUUCUACUCUUCUAUUUGGGUUUUCAAAAUUGAUGAGUGCUCUAGGUUCUUUGAAUGUUCUACUAUUCUGUUAAGUUUUGAAAAUUAACCGGUUAUAACCUUGAAAUCGCCAUGAAGUUUAUAUUUAUUGUGGUAUCAAAUAGUACGAGUGUUCUAGAGUUUAAAGAUUAGCGAUAGAUCUUUAACUUUCUACUCUGUUUAUAUCAUUUGUUUAUAUCAUUCGGUAGUAGGAUAUAAAUUUAUCUUAUAUUAAAGAUUUCUACCAUACUAUUUAAGUUCGCAAAAUUGACUCUAGGUUUUGAAUGUUCUCAUACUUAUUCGUUUUUGUGAAAUCUUUGGGUGCAAUUUUUUAUUCGUUUAAGAUUUCUUAUCUACUUAAACACUCAAGUGUGAUAUGAAAUAGUAUGAGCGUUCUAGAGUUUUAAGAUUAGUAGGUGAUGAUCUUCAACUUCCUAGUAUGUUCGUAUUAUUUGGUAAGAUAUUAUUUUGCCUCAUUUCAAUGAUUUCUACUAUUCUAUUUGGAUUCUCAAAAUUGAUAAGUACUCUAGGUUUUAAAGAUUAACCGGUUAUGAUCUUCAAAUCUUCCAUGAAGUUUGUACACAUGAAGUUCUUGAGCGGGAGACAAUCUUAAAAUAAUAAGUGUUUUAGAGUUUUGAAGUUUAGCGAGAAGCGAUCUAAAAAAUAUCUAGAGAUUUCAAAAAAUUGGAUAAUUAGAUAUUUUAAGAAGAUAAUUUGAAGAUUAUCGAGGGAUGAUCUUCAAAUCUAUAUUGAAGCAAUUUCAAUAAAGGACAAGUGCUAAUCUUUAUUCAAGAUUCUAAACCAAGCGCACGUAGGUUUGAUCUUAAAAAUCCCUAAUUAUACAAUUUUGUUAAAUCUCUAUAAAAACUUUUGAAGUUCAUCUAA